GGGGAUUUAGCUUAGUGGUAGAGCGCUUGCCUAGCAAGCGCAAGGCCCUGGGUUCGGUUCCCAGUUCCG
This 69-nucleotide transfer RNA is filed under the name Rattus norvegicus (Norway rat). It matches the Rfam family "tRNA". Rfam says of the family: Transfer RNA (tRNA) molecules are approximately 80 nucleotides in length. Their secondary structure includes four short double-helical elements and three loops (D, anti-codon, and T loops). The record is from Rfam by way of RNAcentral. Lineage: Eukaryota; Metazoa; Chordata; Mammalia; Rodentia; Muridae.